AAUCCAUGCAUUGAACAUUUCUGAAUUAACUCUUUAAAUCGUUCCCAAGCUUCAUAUAAUGUUUCAUCUUCUAAUUGUCAAAAAGAUGUGAUGUCAUUACUUAAAUU
Gossypium arboreum is the source of this 107-nucleotide non-coding RNA. NCBI's taxonomy places the organism in Eukaryota, Viridiplantae, Streptophyta, Magnoliopsida, Malvales, Malvaceae. The record is from Rfam.